RNA transcript from Belonocnema kinseyi, 1860 nucleotides. It is a transcript of the gene named Kv channel-interacting protein 2-like, with no coding region annotated. The transcript is spliced from 6 exons. NCBI's taxonomy places the organism in Eukaryota, Metazoa, Arthropoda, Insecta, Hymenoptera, Cynipidae. The record is from RefSeq and is a predicted model, not a curated record.
AGUGUCGGACGUGAUCCUUAUUUUCCUUCCUCUUCAAUAUUGUUGUCAGAUUUACAUCAAAGUUAAAAAAGCAAGACGGACCGCCUCUUUUGGUGUCGACACAAGGAUUAAAGUUUUGAGAGCCAAGCUCAAAAUUUUUCAAGAUUGCACUCCCGGCAGAUUCACCGCGAAAAAUGAAAGCACGAAAAGGCCGUGAGAAAAAGGCUGAACUUGAAGAUCUCGGGGACGUUUUAGGGGGUUCAACUUUCGCUCUUGGAGGUCGUCACAAACCUGAAGAAUUGACAAUCCUGGCGGCGACAACAAGGUUCACUCGGAAGGAGAUCCAGCUAAUAUACAGGGGAUUCAAGCAGGAGUGCCCGACUGGACUCGUCGAUGAAGAAGCCUUUAAGAAGAUAUUUUCACAAUUCUUUCCACAGGGCGAUGCGAGUAAGUACGCACACUACGUCUUCAACACCAUUAAAAGGAAACAGUCUGGAAAAAUUAGCUUUGAAGAAUUCCUUUCGAUUCUUUCCAAAGUAUCUCGCGGAUCUGUGGAGGAAAAACUUCAGUGGGUGUUCGGACUAUACGACCUAGAUGGUGACGGAAUGAUAAGUAAAGAAGAGAUGCUAGAUGUCGUGGGCUCGAUUUACGACAUGCUCGGACGUUACACACAGCCCCAAAUAGCUGAAACAAAAACGGCGGCACGCGAGCAUGUUAAUCGGAUAUUUCAUCAAAUGGAUGCGAAUCAAGACGGGUUCGUUACGAUCGAGGAACUGGUACAGUGGUGCUCCAAGGAUGAACAUCUACUACAAAGCUUGGAUACACUUGAUACGGUUUUGUGAGGUCCAAACUCGUUCUCGUAAAUUAUAUUCGUACUCUGAUUUUCAUUUCCCUUGAUCGAAUAUAUAUAUUAUUCGGCGUUAAAAGAAUGUUUACGAAUGCGAGCUGUAACUUAUAAUCAAUCAGGAGGUUAGGAAAACUCCGUGAAGGUGGAAGAGUAUCAAAAUUCAAUAGUCAAAAAUCGACAUCUACCAGAAUAUCUGAAUAAGUUGGCCAGCAAAUCUGGUUAUAUUGACCAGAACGUGUUAUUCUUAAGCUACUAGAAAACUGUCUAGUAAAUAUUUCUGGUUAACCUUACCAGAAAUUCUGGUUACAUUUCCCGAAUUUCUAGUAACAUUAACCAGAAAAUUCUCAACCAGAAACUUCUGAUACUUUUAACCCGAAUUUAUAGUAAGGGCAUAUUUAACACUCUAUUCUAGUUGAAUUAACCAGAAUUGUGGUUGAUUCAAACAGAUUUUUUUUUUAGUGUGAUAAAGUGAGGUCGGUAAUAUAGUUAUUUGGUUGUAUCACAUUCCCUUAAGAAAAAAAUCCUUUCUUGUACUACCCUAAUGUAGGCUAUGGCUAUAUAUGUUCCAUUUUUCAAAGAAAUCUCUCGUUAAAAGAAUGUCUUUCUUCGCUUCAAUGAUAAACAUUCAAAAGCCUUUUAGCACUGUUUUGAAGAUAAGAGUAAUAAAAUUAUAUUCAUUGUCAUUAUGUAUGUAUAUCUUCACUUAGGAUAAUUUAAAAUAUAUUUCAAGUCUCCUGCAUGAUAACACACAUACAUAUAAAUGAUUUGACAUUAAGUGUAUAUGUAUUAAAACUUUAUGAGAUUCUAAUUCACUAUUUUAACGUAUACUCUAAUAGCACCGAACGUUCCAGGCACGUGCGUGGAACGUCCGUAGGCAAUUUGGGAACGUUCCAGCCACGUCCUCAGAACAUUACCAUUUCUGGCCCUUUGGAACAUUCCAGAAGCACCCCACUGGGACGUUAAAAAAUGCAAUAAUGACUUACCGUGAUUAUUAUUAUUAUUAUUUACAACAACUAUCUCUUUUACCAUAAAAG